Long non-coding RNA from Mustela erminea (ermine), 2899 nucleotides. RefSeq lists it as uncharacterized. The record is from RefSeq and is a predicted model, not a curated record. NCBI's taxonomy places the organism in Eukaryota, Metazoa, Chordata, Mammalia, Carnivora, Mustelidae. The transcript has 3 exons.
AGGCAGCAGCACGUUUAGGUUUUUGCCAGUUUGAGAUACUUCGGUUUGUGAAGCUGAGCCCUAAGGGACAACGCUCGGUAACGGAGAAAGAGAUCGUAGAUAAAGAAAUAAAAGUGACAAGCGUAAUGGAGGCUCUGGGAGACGACUGUCAGAGACCAGCUCAGGGAUGGCAAUUUCGCCAGGCUGAGGUUGAAUAAUUCAUAGAUCGAAAUUACCCUGCUUUCACCUUUCCAUUUAAACCGGCAUGAUCUGAAUCUCUAAUAAAUUUUCCAAGAUAAAGUAAAAUGCCAGUUUGAGUCUGAAGAGCUUUUAAAACCAGAUGCUGCCUCCCUGAAUCUUGCGGUAUCUUUCCCAAUUAUCCUGCGAGAACCGCACUUCAUCACAAAGCACCAUUACCAGGGAAAAGGACGGUGAUUGCAGUAGUGACAAUAGAAUGCCACCAAACCAUCUCUCGUUCCCCUAAUUUGCUAAGACUGACUGUGUGGUUUUAGUGCCCAUUGUCCAUCACCAUGCCUGGCACUCGCGGAUCUGUCUCGCUCCGGAACAAAAGUGAGGCGGUGUGUGAAAUAAAUACCUGAACUCUGAAAGCCUAGCAGAGCUCAUUCUCCUAGGCUGCAGUGCCUCCUUCGUUUGGUGGGUGUUUUUGCACUUUUUGUAUUUUUUUUGUUUUGUUUUGUUUUUGUUUUCCAAUGCUUACAACCCCAAAUGCCUGUUUGGGAGAAAUGGUGAGCCUGUCGUGGAUUUGGGGUUGAUGCCUUGAUAUAGGAGAGCACGGGCUUGUUCAUUUAUGUCCCCUUUAUUUUCAUGUUUACAAGCAUGUGUUUACUAGAAGGGAGGAAAGAUUCUGUUCUGGGAGAGUAGUUUAAAAAAUGCAGUCAAGACAAAGCCUGUGUCUUUGUUUCUCCUUUGAAACCCCUUUUCAGGUUAGAGAUUCCUUCCGGACAUUCUAAUCCUGGUAUGAUUCAAAAGGAGCUCAGGAGACACCUGCAGUAAUAACUCUGUGCAGCUUUUAUUAAAAGCAUGUAUUUCUGAUGGAGUGAUUAAAGGCAGCUUUGCUGGGACUUCGGUUGUGGGCAUGUCUGCUGGCUCUCUAGUGCAGUCGAAACUGAAGACUUUUUCGGACAGCCUGUGUGGUCCCUUUCAGGGUAACUCUGCCUCCUCCCAUCCCCCGCCAAAAAGUGGCUCACGAAGCCUUGCUGGAGAACAGACCCUGUGCCUUCAUUUACUUCCCAGUAGCAUGAAGACAGUGUGUGGGUUCCUGCUAGUCAACUGACUCAAGUUUGAUUUUCUAAGGCAGGGUUUCCGAGGGAUGCCAGUUCUUGGGGAGGAAGCAGAGGCCACUGCAAGCCUGUGUGACUCUGGAGGGAAACUACCCUCCUCCAGACGGCCUGGCAAGACCCUUCCUAUGGAAAUCGCUCCUGAGGUGUGAGGACGGUGUGGCUCACGGCGGGUGACCAGACGCCUUGGCUCAGAGAAGUGGCGAUAGACAGUACCAAGUGCACAGUAAGAGCUUACAACUCGUCUGCUCGUGAUCGCCAUCGGGAAGAAACCACGCUUCCAAAGGCGAUGAAUUGAUACGUUUCACGUCCAAAGUCACAAGGCAGGGAGGGAGGGAGUAGCGGGCUUCCACGCCUGCUGCCAUCAGCCACGAGAGGACGUUUAUUACUUCCUUGAGAAAAGCUGGCCCCAGAACAGUUAUUCAUGUUUGUUGGCAGUUUCCAAAGGUGAUUACCGCUUUUAGCCUUGGACUAUAGCCGUGCACAGAAGGUUAGGAACAAUAAUUGUGCAGAACAAGGUCAGGCACAACCAAAGAAAAGAUCCUGACGGCAGGGGACCUCCGGUGUCCGCCCAAAGACAGAAGGCACGGAACUACAACUCAGCUUUCAAAACUCAGCCCCAAUGUCACGUCCCCUGCAAAAUCAUUGCUAAUCCCCGAUCGCAAUUCGUCAUUUCUAGAGCUUUUAUUAUACUUUCUCGUGCUAGAUGGUCAAAUUCAUGUUAAUAUCAUUUCCAGAAAUCAUGGGAUUUUUGAUCUCCCUGAAGACACGGCUCUGGAAUUAUUCAGCUCUUGCCUGAUCGUCCCGGCACCUAAACGGAGAGGCUCCUCAGAUAGAAGCAGGACAAAAGAAGUCUUUGCUGAAUUCAACAGACGCCCUGCAUUCACUUACUUUGCCCCUUGCUGCGUUUCAAAAUUACCCACCAACAUCUAUAUGCAAAGAAGCAAGAUGGGGACAGUCUGUGUUUGUAGUCUCAGUCCAAUACACACACCAUGCCAAAGAGAGAAUCGGAUUCCAUUUUGGAGCCGAGGUCUCAGGUCCAAUUUAAUUUGAUCCCCAAAUGACCAAGCUGAUUAAUUGUCAGCUCCAGCCUUUCUUCGAAGGAAACCUUAAUCCCCCGUAAUUUGCCAUGAAAUUAGUGGGAGUUGGCUCUUUGAGGCAUGAAUAGCGUGGGUCCUGUUCAAACCUCCCCGGGCCGUAUUUCGGGGAGGUGGGGAUGGGGCUGGCCGCCCCGAAGAGAAGCAGGUGUAAUGCGGAUUAGGUCACAUGGUGGGAAGGGGGCUGCGGUGGGCAGGCAGCUGGUGAAAUCCCAGGUGUGUGUGAGUUGGCAGGGGUACAAAGAGAGGAGGGCUGCGAACAGCUCAAAGUCCCUGGGCUGUGCAGCUGCCUGUUUGGCACUUGCUUCGGACCCACCUGUCGUGUUGAGGGGCACAACCCACUCCGAGGAGCGGGGAAACAUGAAAGGUCUCCCGUAGCUACCGCACCCCGCCCGGCCCGGGAGGAAGGCAGGGAGCAAGGCUGCCGGGGAGCGGCCAGGCAAAGGCAGGAUCUCCCUCAUGCUCCAUAACCUCCAAAUGCUUAAGUCAGGGCAGGUCUGGCUUUUCUUUCUCAACAGGCAGCCU